AUAACGGUCCUAAGGUAGCGAAAUUCCUUGUCGGGUAAGUUCCGACCCGCACGAAAGGCGUAAUGAUUUGAGCGCUGUCUCGACAAUGCAUCCGGUGAAAUUGAAGUACCAGUGAAGAUGCUGGUUACCUGCGCCAGGACGGAAAGACCCCAUGGAGCUUUACUCCAGUUUGAUACUGGGAUUCGGUACUGUCUGUACAGGAUAGGUGGGAAGCUAGGAAAUGAUGACGCCAGUUGUCAUGGAGCUGACCUUGGGAUACCACCCUUACAGUACUGGGUUUCUAACCUGCAGCCGUGACCCGGCUGGGGGACAAUGUCUGACGGGGAGUUUGACUGGGGCGGUCGCCUCCGAAAGGGUAUCGGAGGCGCUCAAAGGUUCCCUCAGAAUGGUCGGAAACCAUUCGAAGAGUGCAAAGGCAGAAGGGAGCUUGACUGCGACACCGACGGGUGGAGCAGGUACGAAAGUAGGACUUAGUGAUCCGGUGGUAUAAAGUGGGAUUGCCAUCGCUCAACGGAUAAAAGCUACCCUGGGGAUAACAGGCUUAUCACUCCCAAGAGUUCACAUCGACGGAGUGGUUUGGCACCUCGAUGUCGGCUCAUCGCAUCCUGGGGCUGUAGUAGGUCCCAAGGGUUGGGCUGUUCGCCCAUUAAAGCGGUACGCGAGCUGGGUUCAGAACGUCGUGAGACAGUUCGGUCCCUAUCCUCCGUGGGCGCAGGAGAAUCGAUGGAGGCUGCCCCCAGUACGAGAGGACCGGGGUGGACGCACCUCCGGUGAACCGGUUGUCGACCAACGGCACGGCCGGGUAGCCGCGUGCGGCGCGGAUAACCGCUGAAGGCAUCUAAGCGGGAAGCCGUUCCAGGGAUUAGUUCUCCUUCCGGUAAGGGCCCAGGUAGACUACCUGGUCGAUAGACGGCAGGUGCAAGGACGGCGACGUCCUCAGCCGAGCCGCACUAAUCGCCCGAGCUCUUCCGGAA
This 974-nucleotide ribosomal RNA is filed under the name human gut metagenome. RNAcentral describes it as "bacterial LSU rRNA". It matches the Rfam family "Bacterial large subunit ribosomal RNA", at positions 1942 to 2925 of the family's 2925-position model. The record is from RNAcentral.